GCACUUACUUGAGUAAGCUCAUCAGGGUAACUUGAAUGAUUUACGUAUAGUUAGGCCAUCAUGUACGACAAUGGUUCCCGUAAGGAGUGUAAAACUAAGUCAGUACUAAACCACGAGGGCAUGAACGCCAGGCAGGCUAAUGUACCACCAGUUAUUUACUCGCGCCCAGAAAUUCUUUAUCAAGAAGCGUAAAUAUUUCUCCCGUAGCAAAAAUAAGCUAAUCAUUAUUUUUAAUGCAUUGUUUUUACAGUGAUAAUUUUAUUUCAGACGAAGGUUAUUGAAAAAUGAUUAGAAAAAUAAAAUGUGAGAUAAAUGUUAUGGAAAUGACGUGCUGAUAAGGUUUAUCUUAAAGGAGAAGUGAGAGGGACCGUAAGGCUAUAUGGAAG
Molecule: unclassified non-coding RNA, 386 nt
Filed under: uncultured fungus
Lineage: Eukaryota; Fungi
Description: partial internal transcribed spacer 1
Source: RNAcentral